Molecule: ribosomal RNA, 428 nt
Filed under: Ammonia sp. genotype T6
Lineage: Eukaryota; Foraminifera; Rotaliida; Rotaliidae
Description: SSU rRNA
Rfam family: Eukaryotic small subunit ribosomal RNA
Source: RNAcentral
GUGGCUUAAUUUGACUCAACGCGGGAAAUCUUACCGGGUCCGGACACACUGAGGAUUGACAGAUAUAUACCCCGUGAUUUUAUCGCGGGGUUGAAAGAUGCUAGUUCUUUCAUGAUUAUGUGAUAGGUGGUGCAUGGCCGUUCUUAGUUCGUGGAGUGAUCUGUCUGCUUAAUUGCGUAUCAAUAAUAGAGACCUAGUAUACGCGUAGACUCAUGCGGUAGUGACCCCCCUUCACAGGGCGCGUGUCGCACGUAUGUUAUACGCACAGGUCUCCGAUAGCAACGAACGUGACCGUACUCUAUUGUUGCAGCGACAAUACCUUUCAACGGGUAUUACCGCUGCUUAGCAAGAUUCGUCUUGCAUUAAACUAUAGAGACCGCUGUUUCUUCUUUAAACCAGAGGAAGGAUACGGCAAUAACAGGUCUGUG